UACGUAGGGGGCUAGCGUUGUCCGGAUUUAUUGGGCGUAAAGAGCGUGUAGGCGGCCAGAUAGGUCUGCUGUGAAAACUCGAGGCUCAACCUCGAGAUGUCGGCGGAAACCAUUUGGCUAGAGUCCGGAAGAGGAAAGUGGAAUUCCUGGUGUAGCGGUGAAAUGCGCAGAUAUCAGGAGGAACACCGGUGGCGAAGGCGGGUCUCUGGGCAACAACUGACGCUGAGGAGCGAAAGCGUGGGGAGCGAACAGG
Molecule: ribosomal RNA, 253 nt
Filed under: uncultured bacterium
Lineage: Bacteria
Description: partial 16S ribosomal RNA
Rfam family: Bacterial small subunit ribosomal RNA
Source: RNAcentral